GUACUUGCUUGGGCAGCACAUAUACUAAAAUCGGAACGACACAGAGAAGAUUAGCAUGGCCCCUGUGCAAGGAUGACACGUAAAUUCGUGAAGCGUUCCAUUUUUUU
This 107-nucleotide small nuclear RNA is filed under the name Tupaia belangeri chinensis (Chinese tree shrew). Lineage: Eukaryota; Metazoa; Chordata; Mammalia; Scandentia; Tupaiidae. The record is from RNAcentral.